This is a long non-coding RNA of Spinacia oleracea (spinach), 867 nucleotides long. RefSeq lists it as uncharacterized. NCBI's taxonomy places the organism in Eukaryota, Viridiplantae, Streptophyta, Magnoliopsida, Caryophyllales, Amaranthaceae. The record is from RefSeq and is a predicted model, not a curated record. The transcript is spliced from 2 exons.
ACCUGUUUUUAUGGCUUAUGUUGGCAUUCCAUAUCGAAUGGUAUCUCUACCUAAAAAGCCAAAAGUUGGAAAAUAAUAUUUUGAUUAAUAUCCACAACUCCCUUGAAAUCCUUCUUCAAAAAUAUUACAUAUGCAUUUCUCUUAAGAAUAGUGUGCCGACCAAAAUACCCUUAUUUAUGGGUGACUCAGCUUCUCCUAUUGUUCCACAUGGCAAAUUUACGACAAUUCAACUUCUUCCACCUAAACAAUUAAUCAAAAUAUUGUUAGUGACUUUCUGCCUCCAUACUCCCCUUCUUCUUCCUUUACCCUUCUUCUUCAUGGUGACCUUCUUCCUCCACCCUUCUUUUUCCUCAGCUCUCAAGGCUUCUUCUAUUCCAUCAUCAAUCCUCUCUAAUAUUUCUUAUUCCGAUCAAUUUAAUGGCGUUUUUUAUUUGAAGGGCACCUUGGAAGAUUUGUCUCCAUUCAGAUUUCUGACAGCACGCCGAUGAAGAGCCGGCAGACAUGUGGAAUGAGACGUGUUUUCCAUUUGGUUUUCUCAAGAAACUUAUUCAUCGGAAAAUGUUGAUGAGUUUAGAGAUAUGUGGGUCAAGUAUUUGCUCAAACAAGAAACAGAUGAAGAAAACAAAGAUGAUGUUAAUAGCUCCGUCAGUAUUGGUUCCAAUUAUUCAUAAUUGUUGUGAAUGAUUAGACUUUGGAACACCGUUUUGUUGUUUUAACAUUUUAUGAAAUUACAAUUGAUGUUGCAUUUUUGGAGAUUACAAUUGGAGUAUAAAUAUAUAUAUAUAUAUAUAUAUAUAUAUGAAUUGUUGUGGAAUAUAUUAUUACAAAAUUAUUAUAUAGAAGGUGUAGUUUGCAUUUCGCAUAGCA